This 298-nucleotide ribosomal RNA is filed under the name uncultured bacterium. RNAcentral describes it as "partial 16S ribosomal RNA". It matches the Rfam family "Bacterial small subunit ribosomal RNA", at positions 475 to 776 of the family's 1533-position model. The record is from RNAcentral.
CUAUGCGCCUUGCCAGCCCGCUCAGGUGUGCCAGCAGCCGCGGUAAUACAGAGGUCUCAAGCGUUGUUCGGAAUCACUGGGCGUAAAGCGUGCGUAGGCGGUUUCGUAAGUCGUGUGUGAAAGGCGGGGGCUCAACCCCCGGACUGCACAUGAUACUGCGAGACUAGAGUAAUGGAGGGGGAACCGGAAUUCUCGGUGUAGCAGUGAAAUGCGUAGAUAUCGAGAGGAACACUCGUGGCGAAGGCGGGUUCCUGGACAUUAACUGACGCUGAGGCACGAAGGCCAGGGAGCGAAAGGG